Paramuricea clavata is the source of this 141-nucleotide non-coding RNA. The record is from the annotation of a GenBank genome assembly. Lineage: Eukaryota; Metazoa; Cnidaria; Anthozoa; Malacalcyonacea; Plexauridae.
AUGAGUAUCAACCGUCAUUCUUUGCGCCGCUAUGUUUACAGUUUCAUGAAUUUAUGGGCACCCAAAAAUGGCGAUAUUAUAGAAGCCAACUGUAAACAUAGCGGUGCAAAGCAUGACGGUUGAUACUCAUUCUUUAAACAU